Molecule: ribosomal RNA, 450 nt
Filed under: uncultured bacterium
Lineage: Bacteria
Description: partial 16S ribosomal RNA
Rfam family: Bacterial small subunit ribosomal RNA
Source: RNAcentral
GUGGGGAAUAUUGGACAAUGGGCGAAAGCCUGAUCCAGCCAUGCCGCGUGUGUGAAGAAGGUCUUCGGAUUGUAAAGCACUUUAAGUUGGGAGGAAGGGCAUUAACCUAAUACGUUAGUGUUUUGACGUUACCGACAGAAUAAGCACCGGCUAACUUCGUGCCAGCAGCCGCGGUAAUACGAAGGGUGCAAGCGUUAAUCGGAAUUACUGGGCGUAAAGCGCGCGUAGGUGGUUCGUUAAGUUUGAUGUGAAAGCCCCGGGCUCAACCUGGGAACUGCAUCCAAAACUGGCGAGCUAGAGUACGGUAGAGGGUGGUGGAAUUUCCUGUGUAGCGGUGAAAUGCGUAGAUAUAGGAAGGAACACCAGUGGCGAAGGCGACCACCUGGACUGAUACUGACACUGAGGUGCGAAAGCGUGGGGAGCAAACAGGAUUAGAAACCCUAGUAGUCC